Molecule: ribosomal RNA, 419 nt
Filed under: uncultured Pseudomonadaceae bacterium
Lineage: Bacteria; Pseudomonadati; Pseudomonadota; Gammaproteobacteria; Pseudomonadales; Pseudomonadaceae
Description: bacterial SSU rRNA
Rfam family: Bacterial small subunit ribosomal RNA
Source: RNAcentral
UGGGGAAUAUUGGACAAUGGGCGAAAGCCUGAUCCAGCCAUGCCGCGUGUGUGAAGAAGGUCUUCGGAUUGUAAAGCACUUUAAGUUGGGAGGAAGGGCAGUAAGUUAAUACCUUGCUGUUUUGACGUUACCAACAGAAUAAGCACCGGCUAACUUCGUGCCAGCAGCCGCGGUAAUACGAAGGGUGCAAGCGUUAAUCGGAAUUACUGGGCGUAAAGCGCGCGUAGGUGGUUUGGUAAGAUGGAUGUGAAAUCCCGGCGUCAACCUAGGGCAACUGCAUCCAUGAACUGCCUGACUAGAGUACGGUAGAGGGUGGUGGAAUUUCCUGUGUAGCGGUGAAAUGCGUUAGAUAUAGGAAGGAACACCAGUGGCGAAGGCGACCACCUGGACUGAUACUGACACUGAGGUGCGAAAAGCGU